This 320-nucleotide long non-coding RNA is filed under the name Ananas comosus (pineapple). RNAcentral's name for it is "long non-coding RNA (ACOM_LNC003223)". Lineage: Eukaryota; Viridiplantae; Streptophyta; Magnoliopsida; Poales; Bromeliaceae. The record is from RNAcentral.
GUCUUGAAAAUGCGGAUGAGAUAAAGUGGUCUAAUUAUCCAGAUUUACUGUGUAAUUUUUGCAAAAUUUAAUAGUUAAAGGGUUUGUUUGAAAAUGUAUUUUGUUUGGGUCUUUCUGUCGUUAUAGGUGUUGAGACUGCCGUGAAACCUUAAUCUUAAAAUGUGAUGAUUUGUGAGCGCUAAUAGAGGCAAGUAAAUAGCUACUUUUUUACAAACGGGAGAAAAUAUGUGGAUCCAGGUGGGUUCGAGACACGAUUAUUAUCUGUUUUGUUUACUAGUUGCUGGUACAUCCGAGUGGAUUUUAUAGUUAUUGCUGACUGU